Molecule: ribosomal RNA, 514 nt
Filed under: uncultured bacterium
Lineage: Bacteria
Description: partial 16S ribosomal RNA
Rfam family: Bacterial small subunit ribosomal RNA
Source: RNAcentral
ACUCAAAGGAAUUGACGGGGGCCCGCACAAGCGGCGGAGCAUGUGGAUUAAUUCGAUGCAACGCGAAGAACCUUACCUGGGUUUGACAUGCACCAGACGCGUUCAGAGAUGGGCGUUCCCUUGUGGUUGGUGUGCAGGUGGUGCAUGGCUGUCGUCAGCUCGUGUCGUGAGAUGUUGGGUUAAGUCCCGCAACGAGCGCAACCCUCGUUCCAUGUUGCCAGCGCGCGGUGUCUAAUAAGCACUGUGGCGGGGACUCAUGGGAGACUGCCGGGGUCAACUCGGAGGAAGGUGGGGAUGACGUCAAGUCAUCAUGCCCCUUAUGUCCAGGGCUUCACACAUGCUACAAUGGCUCAUACAGAGGGCUGCGAGACCGUGAGGUGGAGCGAAUCCCUUAAAGUGGGUCUCAGUUCGGAUCGGGGUCUGCAACUCGACCCCGUGAAGUCGGAGUCGCUAGUAAUCGCAGAUCAGCAACGCUGCGGUGAAUACGUUCCCGGGCCUUGCACACACCGCCCGU